This 301-nucleotide ribosomal RNA is filed under the name uncultured bacterium. Its description in RNAcentral is "partial 16S ribosomal RNA". It matches the Rfam family "Bacterial small subunit ribosomal RNA", at positions 509 to 807 of the family's 1533-position model. The record is from RNAcentral.
CAGCCGCCGCGGUAAUACGUAGGGUGCGAGCGUUAAUCGUAAUUACUGGGCGUAAAGCGUGCGCAGGCGGUUGUGUAAGACAAGCGUGAAAUCCCCGGGCUCAACCUGGGAAUGGCGCUUGUGACUGCAAAGCUAGAGUGCGGCAGAGGGGGAUGGAAUUCCGCGUGUAGCAGUGAAAUGCGUAGAUAUGCGGAGGAACACCGAUGGCGAAGGCAAUCCCCUGGGCCUGCACUGACGCUCAUGCACGAAAGCGUGGGGAGCAAACAGGAUUAGAUACCCGCGUAGUCCCUGUCUCUUAUAC